RNAcentral lists this long non-coding RNA (1161 nucleotides) under Populus trichocarpa (black cottonwood). RNAcentral's name for it is "long non-coding RNA (PTRI_LNC002255)". The record is from RNAcentral. Lineage: Eukaryota; Viridiplantae; Streptophyta; Magnoliopsida; Malpighiales; Salicaceae.
UUCUUGUAAAUCUUAUGCAUAUUCAUUAUUGAGAGCAUUCUUGACAGCAUAGGUUAUAUCUAAAUCCACAUCAAGGAAGAGUGUUUCUUCUAAAUGCGUCGACGAUCUGCCUUCCGCUAAACGAUGUAUUCUUCGGUUAGUUUUGGUGCAGAGAUCUACGUCUAUAGUGUUGUUUGAGUAUAGUAUGAUGUACUCAAUGGGGGAUUGAUCUUUAUUAGUGAGAUGCCAAACCAGCUCCUGACUUUCUGCAAGAGCCAAGGCAAGUUCUCUCCAUAGCGUGUAAUGUCAUUUGCUAAUUUACAUGACCUUUGUGUCCUAAAAGCGAAUUCCGUCAGAAAAUCUCUUAUCAUAUGGCUCAAACUCUGCAUGAAUCAACUGAUCUCCAGGAUUGUAUUGAUGUUGUAAUGAAAAACAAAUGUUAAAUGUCCAGCAGACUUAACCAAAGGACGACACCUCGACUUCACAACAAAGCAUAUCCAAAUGGAAGGAAAAUUAAAAUGGGAAAAAGUUUGACAUUUUUUUCAAUCUAUUCUGAAAAUGAAUUGUAACCGUUGACAGAAAAAACCAAGAGCAGCAUAGCCAAAUGGAAAAGCUUCAAUGCCAAAACUUAUAUUUAACAAUUACCACAGCAUAUCCAUGCGUUUGUCUUGGAGACAAAGGUAAUCAAUUGUAUGGUUACCACGGACAAUGACAAAGUGGAUAGAAAGAAUUAAAAAUAAAAUAAAAUAAAAGACAAGACAAGACCUGGCUGUUCUCUGUAAAAAUUCAAUUGAACUUGAAUGUGUGGAAAUCAUAACAGAAGGCUAAAAUCACUAGACAAAUGUCAAAUGCGCAUUGAAAUAGAGCAACUUACCACGGAUAUCAUGAUUCAUGAACUCCGUCCGCUGUCCUCGGCCAUCAUUCCUUUCAGACUCUUAGCUAACCAGAUAGCUGUCUCCCUUGGAGAGACUUUAUCUUUCCCGAAAGGUUUUAAAACAACCGCAAGCUCUUCUAACCUGCUUUGCUGAAGCAAAUCAGCAGACAAUUCUAGAAGUCCUUCAAGUGCCUCUGCCCUCUGCCUGAAAGAUUUAACAUCCAAAGUUUCCCUUGCUGCUGCUUCCUCUUCAGUGACAGGGGAGUUGGAUUUUGGUAGCUCCGAUAAAUCAAAUUGUGGAACCAGAG